Molecule: ribosomal RNA, 340 nt
Filed under: uncultured bacterium
Lineage: Bacteria
Description: bacterial SSU rRNA
Rfam family: Bacterial small subunit ribosomal RNA
Source: RNAcentral
AAAACAGCCCUACGGGAGGCAGCAGUAAGGAAUAUUGGACAAUGGGCGCAAGCCUGAUCCAGCCAUGCCGCGUGAAGGAUUAAGGCCCUCUGGGUUGUAAACUUCUUUUAUAUGGGACGAAAAAGAUCAUUCUUGGUCACUUGACGGUACCAUGUGAAUAAGCACCGGCUAACUCCGUGCCAGCAGCCGCGGUAAUACGGAGGGUGCAAGCGUUAUCCGGAUUCACUGGGUUUAAAGGGUGCGUAGGCGGGCAUUUAAGUCAGUGGUGAAAUCCUGGAGCUUAACUCCAGAACUGCCAUUGAUACUAUCUGCCUUGGAUAUUGUGGAGGUCUGCGGAAUA